UGAGACUGAAGUACUGACGAUGAAGAUGAACAGUCCUCUAUUUAGGGGUGUUUGGUUCCACGGACUAAAGUUUAGUCCCUGUCACAUCGAAUAUUUAGAUAUUAAUUAGGAGCAUUAAACAUAGACUAAUUAUAAAAACUAAUUGCACAUAUUCGCGAGACGAAUUUAUUAAGCCUAAUUAGUUCAUGAUUGACAAUAUGAUACUACAGUAAAUAUGUGCUUAAUCAUGAACUAAUUAGGGUUAAUAGAUUCGUCUCGCGAAUUAGGCUCCAUCUGUGCAAUUGAUUUUAUAAUUAGUAUAUUUAGUCCUAGUAUCUAAAUAUUCGAUGUGACAGGAGCUAAUCGUGGAACUAAACACCAGUAGUUGCGUUGCGCUGUGUACUGAACUGAAAAGAAAAAUGUAACAGGAGCUGGCGCAGGAGCUGGGGAUCUACCUGCUCUCUUUUGAUCGUCCUGGGUACGGCGAGAGCGACCCGCACCCGGGGAGGACUGUGAAGAGCAUCGCCUUGGACAUCGAGCA
RNAcentral lists this long non-coding RNA (520 nucleotides) under Setaria italica (foxtail millet). RNAcentral describes it as "long non-coding RNA (SITA_LNC000461)". Lineage: Eukaryota; Viridiplantae; Streptophyta; Magnoliopsida; Poales; Poaceae. The record is from RNAcentral.